This 2899-nucleotide ribosomal RNA is filed under the name Klebsiella quasipneumoniae. RNAcentral's name for it is "23S ribosomal RNA". It matches the Rfam family "Bacterial large subunit ribosomal RNA". The record is from RNAcentral. Lineage: Bacteria; Pseudomonadati; Pseudomonadota; Gammaproteobacteria; Enterobacterales; Enterobacteriaceae.
UUAAGCGACUAAGCGUACACGGUGGAUGCCCUGGCAGUCAGAGGCGAUGAAGGACGUACUAAUCUGCGAAAAGCGUCGGUAAGGUGAUAUGAACCGUUAUAACCGGCGAUGUCCGAAUGGGGAAACCCAGUGCAAUUCGUUGCACUAUCGUUAACUGAAUACAUAGGUUAACGAGGCGAACCGGGGGAACUGAAACAUCUAAGUACCCCGAGGAAAAGAAAUCAACCGAGAUUCCCCCAGUAGCGGCGAGCGAACGGGGAGCAGCCCAGAGUCUGAAUCAGCUUGUGUGUUAGUGGAACGGUCUGGAAAGUCCGACGGUACAGGGUGAUAGUCCCGUACACCAAAAUGCACAGGUUGUGAACUCGAAGAGUAGGGCGGGACACGUGGUAUCCUGUCUGAAUAUGGGGGGACCAUCCUCCAAGGCUAAAUACUCCUGACUGACCGAUAGUGAACCAGUACCGUGAGGGAAAGGCGAAAAGAACCCCGGCGAGGGGAGUGAAAAAGAACCUGAAACCGUGUACGUACAAGCAGUGGGAGCACCUUCGGGUGUGACUGCGUACCUUUUGUAUAAUGGGUCAGCGACUUAUAUUCUGUAGCAAGGUUAACCGUAUAGGGGAGCCGCAGGGAAACCGAGUCUUAACUGGGCGUUAAGUUGCAGGGUAUAGACCCGAAACCCGGUGAUCUAGCCAUGGGCAGGUUGAAGGUUGGGUAACACUAACUGGAGGACCGAACCGACUAAUGUUGAAAAAUUAGCGGAUGACUUGUGGCUGGGGGUGAAAGGCCAAUCAAACCGGGAGAUAGCUGGUUCUCCCCGAAAGCUAUUUAGGUAGCGCCUCGUGAACUCAUCUUCGGGGGUAGAGCACUGUUUCGGCUAGGGGGUCAUCCCGACUUACCAACCCGAUGCAAACUACGAAUACCGAAGAAUGUUAUCACGGGAGACACACGGCGGGUGCUAACGUCCGUCGUGAAGAGGGAAACAACCCAGACCGCCAGCUAAGGUCCCAAAGUCAUGGUUAAGUGGGAAACGAUGUGGGAAGGCACAGACAGCCAGGAUGUUGGCUUAGAAGCAGCCAUCAUUUAAAGAAAGCGUAAUAGCUCACUGGUCGAGUCGGCCUGCGCGGAAGAUGUAACGGGGCUAAACCAUGCACCGAAGCUGCGGCAGCGACACUAUGUGUUGUUGGGUAGGGGAGCGUUCUGUAAGCCUGCGAAGGUGGCCUGUGAGGGUUGCUGGAGGUAUCAGAAGUGCGAAUGCUGACAUAAGUAACGAUAAAGCGGGUGAAAAGCCCGCUCGCCGGAAGACCAAGGGUUCCUGUCCAACGUUAAUCGGGGCAGGGUGAGUCGACCCCUAAGGCGAGGCCGAAAGGCGUAGUCGAUGGGAAACAGGUUAAUAUUCCUGUACUUGGUGUUACUGCGAAGGGGGGACGGAGAAGGCUAUGUUAGCCGGGCGACGGUUGUCCCGGUUUAAGCAUGUAGGCUGAUUAUCCAGGCAAAUCCGGAUAAUCAAGGCUGAGGUGUGAUGACGAGGCACUACGGUGCUGAAGUAACAAAUGCCCUGCUUCCAGGAAAAGCCUCUAAGCAUCAGGUAACAUCAAAUCGUACCCCAAACCGACACAGGUGGUCAGGUAGAGAAUACCAAGGCGCUUGAGAGAACUCGGGUGAAGGAACUAGGCAAAAUGGUGCCGUAACUUCGGGAGAAGGCACGCUGGUGUGUAGGUGAAGUCCCUGCGGAUGGAGCUGAGACCAGUCGAAGAUACCAGCUGGCUGCAACUGUUUAUUAAAAACACAGCACUGUGCAAACACGAAAGUGGACGUAUACGGUGUGACGCCUGCCCGGUGCCGGAAGGUUAAUUGAUGGGGUUAUCCGUAAGGAGAAGCUCUUGAUCGAAGCCCCGGUAAACGGCGGCCGUAACUAUAACGGUCCUAAGGUAGCGAAAUUCCUUGUCGGGUAAGUUCCGACCUGCACGAAUGGCGUAAUGAUGGCCAGGCUGUCUCCACCCGAGACUCAGUGAAAUUGAACUCGCUGUGAAGAUGCAGUGUACCCGCGGCAAGACGGAAAGACCCCGUGAACCUUUACUAUAGCUUGACACUGAACAUUGAGCCUUGAUGUGUAGGAUAGGUGGGAGGCUUUGAAGCGUGGACGCCAGUCUGCGUGGAGCCAACCUUGAAAUACCACCCUUUAAUGUUUGAUGUUCUAACGUGGGCCCCUAAUCGGGGUUGCGGACAGUGUCUGGUGGGUAGUUUGACUGGGGCGGUCUCCUCCCAAAGCGUAACGGAGGAGCACGAAGGUUAGCUAAUCCUGGUCGGACAUCAGGAGGUUAGUGCAAUGGCAUAAGCUAGCUUGACUGCGAGCGUGACGGCGCGAGCAGGUGCGAAAGCAGGUCAUAGUGAUCCGGUGGUUCUGAAUGGAAGGGCCAUCGCUCAACGGAUAAAAGGUACUCCGGGGAUAACAGGCUGAUACCGCCCAAGAGUUCAUAUCGACGGCGGUGUUUGGCACCUCGAUGUCGGCUCAUCACAUCCUGGGGCUGAAGUAGGUCCCAAGGGUAUGGCUGUUCGCCAUUUAAAGUGGUACGCGAGCUGGGUUUAGAACGUCGUGAGACAGUUCGGUCCCUAUCUGCCGUGGGCGCUGGAGAAUUGAGGGGGGCUGCUCCUAGUACGAGAGGACCGGAGUGGACGCAUCACUGGUGUUCGGGUUGUCAUGCCAAUGGCACUGCCCGGUAGCUAAAUGCGGAAGAGAUAAGUGCUGAAAGCAUCUAAGCACGAAACUUGCCCCGAGAUGAGUUCUCCCUGAGACUUUAAGUCUCCUGAAGGAACGUUGAAGACGACGACGUUGAUAGGCCGGGUGUGUAAGCGCAGCGAUGCGUUGAGCUAACCGGUACUAAUGAACCGUGAGGCUUAACCU